Molecule: unclassified non-coding RNA, 305 nt
Organism: Sorex araneus (European shrew)
Lineage: Eukaryota; Metazoa; Chordata; Mammalia; Eulipotyphla; Soricidae
Gene: 7SK
Rfam family: 7SK RNA
About the family: 7SK was discovered as an abundant small nuclear RNA in the mid-70s but a possible function has only recently been suggested.
Source: Ensembl
GAAUUUGAUGGAGAUUUGGUUGUGACAUGUCCCCAGUGAUCACCAGGAUGGAUUUGGUUUACCUUAUUGACUGAGUAGUUUUCCCAUUCCUCCUUCAUCGCUCUAUUUGUAUACCUCCCAUGCUGUGGAUUCAGUUUACAGGAGGCCUACAAUCACAGGUAGUAGCUGCACUAUGACCUACAGUCAUAGAAAUAGCUGCACUUCCCUGAUAGAGCCGCCAAACAAUCUCACGAAGGAAUAUCAGAGAUAGAAAGCUACAUUUUAAUACAGAAUAUAAAUAUAGCUUAACCAGUAGGGUAUAGUAU